Molecule: long non-coding RNA, 684 nt
Filed under: Capsicum annuum
Lineage: Eukaryota; Viridiplantae; Streptophyta; Magnoliopsida; Solanales; Solanaceae
Description: long non-coding RNA (CANN_LNC010933)
Source: RNAcentral
AAUUCUUCAUUCUUCUACUCUUAAAUUCCACAACAAGAGAAUCGUUACUUGCUACGGAAUCACUAAAACCACACGCCAAACACCUACUAUUCACGCCAUCCACCAUGCAAAACGUGAUAUCCUUCGCAUUCAUGGGUAACUAAAUCUCUUAGUUGGGGUUAUGGAAGCCGAAUGAGUUACUAUCUAUAGCUAUGAGUUUGUGAGUUCAAGACAAGUAUAUUGCUUAUAUCAUUAUUCUCUUCAUCUUAAAUCUACAUUCUUUGCGGUUCAAACACAAGAACACGCCAUUCUAACAUCUAACCUGUUCGAGAGAAAGGUUAUUUGUAUAGAAAAGAAGACGCAUAGACCAACGCCAGUCUAACAUCUGACUUGUUCGAGAGAAAAGUUAUUUGUCUGGAAAAGAGAUAAUGUCAAGGUAGUAGGACACCCUUUCCUAUUAAAAAGCUAGUGCCGUACCUGGACUAACUUCUUGGAGAAUUCGUACCGUUAGUCACGAUUUAAGCUCGAGAGAGUUAAAGUGAAAUAGUCCUUGUUUAGGUCGAGAGACGCUUGGAUUUACCAUCGACUACAAUUCUCUAUAAGCAAUUACAUGUCAAGACUCUACACACUCAUAGCCAAUAGAGACGUAUACCUCAGAAGGUGGACAUAACCCCAACGCCUCAAUUCUCAUUGUUUACAACACAC